Long non-coding RNA from Oncorhynchus tshawytscha (Chinook salmon), 491 nucleotides. NCBI's taxonomy places the organism in Eukaryota, Metazoa, Chordata, Actinopteri, Salmoniformes, Salmonidae. The record is from Ensembl.
UCCACUUCCGUAUUGAGCACGUCACUGGUACUUCCUGUUGGCUUAUAAGCAAGAAUCAGGAGGAUAGAAUUAUGGUCAGAUUUGCCGAAUGGAAGGCCAGGGAGAGCUUUGUAUGAGUCUCUGUGUGUGAAGUAAAGGUCACAAGCAAAGACUUGUCAGGUCUCAACAUCAACACUGGCACGCAUCCUAAAGAAAAAACAUAUUCAAAUGAAGCAAAUUUAUCGAGUGCCUUUCGAGCGCAAUUCCGAAAGGGUGAAACGACUGCGGCAUGAUUAUGCAGAGAGAGUUUUACGAAUGGAUGGAGAGGAGAUCCAGCAUCAGUUCAUUUACGUAGAUGAGGCUGGGUUCAACCUGAAGAGAACACGAAGGAGGGGAAGAAACAUCAUUGGCCACAGGGCUAUAGUCAAUGUCCCAGGGCAACGUGGGGGUAAUAUAACACUCUGUGCAGCCAUUACACAGAAUGGGGUCCUCCACCGCCAUGCCCAUAUGGG